CAGAGGGUGCAAACGUUGCUCGGAAUUACUGGGCGUAAAGCGCGUGUAGGCGGUCACGCAAGUCAGGUGUGAAAGCCCAGGGCUCAACCCUGGAAGUGCACAUGAUACUACGUGGCUGGAGUACUGAAGAGGAGAGCGGAAUUCCCGGUGUAGAGGUGAAAUUCGUAGAUAUCGGGAGGAACACCAGUGGCGAAGGCGGCUCUCUGGGCAGAUACUGACGCUGAGACGCGAAAGCGUGGGUAGCAAACAGGAUUAGAUACCCUGGUAGUCCACGCUGUAAACGAUGAGAACUGGGUGUCGUGGAUAUUGACCCCCGCGGUGCCGAAGCCAACGCGUUAAGUUCUCCGCCUGGGAAGUACGGCCGCAAGGCUA
This 372-nucleotide ribosomal RNA is filed under the name uncultured organism. RNAcentral's name for it is "bacterial SSU rRNA". It matches the Rfam family "Bacterial small subunit ribosomal RNA", at positions 526 to 896 of the family's 1533-position model. The record is from RNAcentral.